Molecule: ribosomal RNA, 471 nt
Filed under: Exapion formaneki
Lineage: Eukaryota; Metazoa; Arthropoda; Insecta; Coleoptera; Brentidae
Description: partial 16S ribosomal RNA
Source: RNAcentral
CUUAAUGAGAAAAAUAUUAAGUCUAACCUGCUCUAUGAAAUUUUAAAUGGCCGCGGUAUUUUGACCGUGCAAAGGUAGCAUAAUCAUUUGUUUUUUAAUUGAAAGCUGGAAUGAAAGGUUGAAUGAAAAAAUAACUGUCUUUAUAUAAAUUUUAAVAUUUUAUUUUUAAGUUAAAAAGCUUAAAUUUAAUUUGAAGACGAGAAGACCCUAUAGAGUUUAAUAGUUAAAUUAUUUUAUUAAUUUAGAAUUUAAUAAUAUAAAUUAAUUUUAUUAUUUGAUUGGGGUGAUUGAAAAAUUUAAUUAACUUUUUUUUAUAAUAACAUAAAUUAAUGAAAAAAUGAUCCUUAGUAAAGAUUAAAAGAUAAAAUUACCUUAGGGAUAACAGCGUAAUUUUUUUAAAGAGUUCAAAUCGAAAAAAAAGAUUGCGACCUCGAUGUUGGAUUAAAAUUAAAGUUUGGUGUAGAAGCUAAA